This 1855-nucleotide ribosomal RNA is filed under the name Salmonella enterica subsp. enterica serovar Anatum. Its description in RNAcentral is "partial 23S ribosomal RNA". It matches the Rfam family "Bacterial large subunit ribosomal RNA", at positions 528 to 2364 of the family's 2925-position model. Lineage: Bacteria; Pseudomonadati; Pseudomonadota; Gammaproteobacteria; Enterobacterales; Enterobacteriaceae. The record is from RNAcentral.
GGCGAGGGGAGUGAAAAAGAACCUGAAACCGUGUACGUACAAGCAGUGGGAGCACAGGUUUACCUGUGUGACUGCGUACCUUUUGUAUAAUGGGUCAGCGACUUAUAUUCUGUAGCAAGGUUAACCGAAUAGGGGAGCCGGAGGGAAACCGAGUCUUAAUUGGGCGUUAAGUUGCAGGGUAUAGACCCGAAACCCGGUGAUCUAGCCAUGGGCAGGUUGAAGGUUGGGUAACACUAACUGGAGGACCGAACCGACUAAUGUUGAAAAAUUAGCGGAUGACCUGUGGCUGGGGGUGAAAGGCCAAUCAAACCGGGAGAUAGCUGGUUCUCCCCGAAAGCUAUUUAGGUAGCGCCUCGUGAAUUCAUCUCCGGGGGUAGAGCACUGUUUCGGCUAGGGGGCCAUCCCGGCUUACCAACCCGAUGCAAACUGCGAAUACCGGAGAAUGUUAUCACGGGAGACACACGGCGGGUGCUAACGUCCGUCGUGAAGAGGGAAACAACCCAGACCGCCAGCUAAGGUCCCAAAGUCAUGGUUAAGUGGGAAACGAUGUGGGAAGGCCCAGACAGCCAGGAUGUUGGCUUAGAAGCAGCCAUCAUUUAAAGAAAGCGUAAUAGCUCACUGGUCGAGUCGGCCUGCGCGGAAGAUGUAACGGGGCUAAACCAUGCACCGAAGCUGCGGCAGCGACACUCAGGUGUUGUUGGGUAGGGGAGCGUUCUGUAAGCCUGUGAAGGUGUGUCGUGAGGGUUGCUGGAGGUAUCAGAAGUGCGAAUGCUGACAUAAGUAACGAUAAAGCGGGUGAAAAGCCCGCUCGCCGGAAGACCAAGGGUUCCUGUCCAACGUUAAUCGGGGCAGGGUGAGUCGACCCCUAAGGCGAGGCCGAAAGGCGUAGUCGAUGGGAAACGGGUUAAUAUUCCCGUACUUGGUGUUACUGCGAAGGGGGGACGGAGAAGGCUAUGUUGGCCGGGCGACGGUUGUCCCGGUUUAAGCGUGUAGGUGUGUGUUCCAGGUAAAUCCGGUUCACUUUAACACUGAGGCGUGAUGACGAGGCACUACGGUGCUGAAGCAACAAAUGCCCUGCUUCCAGGAAAAGCCUCUAAGCAUCAGGUAACAUCAAAUCGUACCCCAAACCGACACAGGUGGUCAGGUAGAGAAUACCAAGGCGCUUGAGAGAACUCGGGUGAAGGAACUAGGCAAAAUGGUGCCGUAACUUCGGGAGAAGGCACGCUGACACGUAGGUGAAGUGAUUUACUCAUGGAGCUGAAGUCAGUCGAAGAUACCAGCUGGCUGCAACUGUUUAUUAAAAACACAGCACUGUGCAAACACGAAAGUGGACGUAUACGGUGUGACGCCUGCCCGGUGCCGGAAGGUUAAUUGAUGGGGUCAGCGCAAGCGAAGCUCCUGAUCGAAGCCCCGGUAAACGGCGGCCGUAACUAUAACGGUCCUAAGGUAGCGAAAUUCCUUGUCGGGUAAGUUCCGACCUGCACGAAUGGCGUAAUGAUGGCCAGGCUGUCUCCACCCGAGACUCAGUGAAAUUGAACUCGCUGUGAAGAUGCAGUGUACCCGCGGCAAGACGGAAAGACCCCGUGAACCUUUACUAUAGCUUGACACUGAACAUUGAGCCUUGAUGUGUAGGAUAGGUGGGAGGCUUUGAAGCGUGGACGCCAGUCUGCGUGGAGCCGACCUUGAAAUACCACCCUUUAAUGUUUGAUGUUCUAACGUGGACCCGUAAUCCGGGUUGCGGACAGUGUCUGGUGGGUAGUUUGACUGGGGCGGUCUCCUCCUAAAGAGUAACGGAGGAGCACGAAGGUUGGCUAAUCCUGGUCGGACAUCAGGAGGUUAGUGCAAUGGCAUAAGC